GCGGCUGCCGGGAGGAUGUGCCGCCUUCUGGCAGGGGGAAGAAGGAGGAGAAGAUGAAGAAGCACCGGCGGGCCUUGGCCCUGGUCUCCUGCCUCUUUCUGUGCUCUCUGGUCUGGCUUCCCAGCUGGCGUGUAUGUUGUAAAGAGAGUUCUUCAGCUUCAGCGUCAUCAUAUUACUCUCAAGAUGACAACUGCGCACUAGAAAAUGAAGAUGUACAAUUCCAGAAAAAGGUGCCUUAAAUAAAGUUAACAUUAUAAUUUGUGUGUCAGCUUUCUGAGAGUGUCUGAAAACAUUCAGAAUAAAAGUAAUUUCAAAAAUGCCAUGCCAUAAUUUUUGGUGGAGAUUCGUAUUUUUCUUUGCUAUUACUCAGGUAAUUCUUAAAUUAUGAUGGCUCAGAGAUAUUUAUAUGUUUAUUCUUGUUGCUUGUAUUUGGAAUUUUGUAACAUCCUUAGUCCUGUAGUAUAGGGUAGUGCAUGUUCAGAGAGCUGAAAACGAGUGAUUUGUUUUUAAUGAUCUAUAAUAGAGUUUUUAAAGAAACCCCAAUUUUGCAAAUGAGAACUAUUAGAAGUGAGUAUUCCAGGGAGAAUCUACAGUCAGUGGCUUUGUAGUUUGUUUUAUGUAAUUAGGUGCAGUAAAUAUAAAGACUCCAAAAAACCUCAUGGUCUUAAAACAUGUAUUAUUUUACCAUUCUAAAUGAUAAAUGGAGAGUAUUGACUUGAUUUGGCUUUUGCCUUUAACUUCAGUGUAUUUAA
RNAcentral lists this small RNA (752 nucleotides) under Pan troglodytes (chimpanzee). RNAcentral describes it as "retained intron". Lineage: Eukaryota; Metazoa; Chordata; Mammalia; Primates; Hominidae. The record is from RNAcentral.